GCGGCGGACGGGUGAGUAACACGUGGGCAACCUGCCCUGCAGACUGGGAUAACUUCGGGAAACCGGAGCUAAUACCGGAUAACACCGAAAACCGCAUGGUUUUCGGUUGAAAGGCGGCUUUUAGCUGUCACUGCAGGAUGGGCCGCGACGGCGCAUUAUCUAGUUGGUGAGGUAACGGCUCACCAAGGCGACUAUGCGUAUCCGACCUGAGAGGGUGACCGGCCACACUGGGACUGAGACACGGCCCAGACUCCUACGGGAGGCAGCAGUAGGGAAUCUUCCGCAAUGGACGAAAGUCUGACGGAGCAACGCCGCGUGAGCGAAGAAGGUCUUCGGAUCGUAAAGCUCUGUUGUCAGGGAAGAACAAGUACCGUUCGAACAGGGCGGUACCUUGACGGUACCUGACGAGGAAGCCACGGCUAACUACGUGCCAGCAGCCGCGGUAAUAC
Molecule: ribosomal RNA, 449 nt
Filed under: Aeribacillus sp. G23C011X
Lineage: Bacteria; Bacillati; Bacillota; Bacilli; Caryophanales; Bacillaceae
Description: bacterial SSU rRNA
Rfam family: Bacterial small subunit ribosomal RNA
Source: RNAcentral